RNAcentral lists this long non-coding RNA (359 nucleotides) under Homo sapiens (human). Its description in RNAcentral is "HSALNT0056169". The record is from RNAcentral. Lineage: Eukaryota; Metazoa; Chordata; Mammalia; Primates; Hominidae.
CUCCAGAACGGGCAUCCACACCACAGAAUUCAUGCUGCAACGAGAAUGAAUAAGACGAGUGCUACGCGCAACAACACUGGUGACUGUCGCAAACACCAUGUUGCAGGAAGGACAUUACGGAUAAGAGAGUAAACAUGGAGAUUGAAGCUCAGAGACUUGUUGGAGCUCACAGCGGCACUGGGACAUUUGGACCAAGAGCUUUUCUCCCUUCCGAGUCAGUGCAUGAUGCCAGAGAACAUCCCUGGGGUUCCCAUGGUGCUGUUAUGGCUGUCCUGUUUCUUACCCUAGAUGCUUUCAGGAAAGACUAAGAUCCUUUUCCUGGAGGGAGGAUAAAGAACCUGGAGAUGAGAAAUGACAUG